RNAcentral lists this transfer RNA (74 nucleotides) under Thermoproteota archaeon. RNAcentral describes it as "tRNA-Val". It matches the Rfam family "tRNA". Rfam says of the family: Transfer RNA (tRNA) molecules are approximately 80 nucleotides in length. Their secondary structure includes four short double-helical elements and three loops (D, anti-codon, and T loops). The record is from RNAcentral. Lineage: Archaea; Thermoproteati; Thermoproteota. RNAcentral also lists the same sequence under 1 other name.
GGGCCGGUCGUCUAGGUGGUUAGGAUAUCUGCCUGACACGCAGAAGGUCGCCAGUUCAAGUCUGGCCCGGCCCA